UCCCUUUGCAGGUGACAGAAGUGAAU
Molecule: non-coding RNA, 26 nt
Filed under: Homo sapiens (human)
Lineage: Eukaryota; Metazoa; Chordata; Mammalia; Primates; Hominidae
Source: RNAcentral